GUAGMYAGUGAGGCGUCCGGACUGGCCCAGAGAGGUGGGCAACUACCACUCAGGGCCGGAAAGCUCUCCAAACUCGGUCAUUUAGAGGAAGUAAAAGUCGUAACAAGGUCUCCGUUGGUGAACCAGCGGAGGGAUCAUUACCGAGUUUACAACUCCCAAACCCCUGUGAACAUACCACUUGUUGCCUCGGCGGAUCAGCCCGCUCCCGGUAAAACGGGACGGCCCGCCAGAGGACCCCUAAACUCUGUUUCUAUAUGUAACUUCUGAGUAAAACCAUAAAUAAAUCAAAACUUUCAACAACGGAUCUCUUGGUUCUGGCAUCGAUGAAGAACGCAGCAAAAUGCGAUAAGUAAUGUGAAUUGCAGAAUUCAGUGAAUCAUCGAAUCUUUGAACGCACAUUGCGCCCGCCAGUAUUCUGGCGGGCAUGCCUGUUCGAGCGUCAUUUCAACCCUCAAGCACAGCUUGGUGUUGGGACUCGCGUUAAUUCGCGUUCCUCAAAUUGAUUGGCGGUCACGUCGAGCUUCCAUAGCGUAGUAGUAAAACCCUCGUUACUGGUAAUCGUCGCGGCCACGCCGUUAAACCCCAACUUCUGAAUGUUGACCUCGGAUCAGGUAGGAAUACCGRAAAAUUAUAAAAAU
RNAcentral lists this ribosomal RNA (638 nucleotides) under Fusarium sp. HJAG7. RNAcentral's name for it is "eukaryotic LSU rRNA". Lineage: Eukaryota; Fungi; Ascomycota; Sordariomycetes; Hypocreales; Nectriaceae. The record is from RNAcentral.